AGCCCGCGGCCCCCCGUCGCCCGGGCCGUCUGUAGCCCCUGACCUGACCUCGCCAUGGCCGAGGCCGCCUCCGGCGCCGGGGGCACGUCCCUGGAGGGCGAGCGUGGCAAGAGGCCCCCGCCGGAGGGCGAGCCUGCAGCCCCGGCGUCCGGAGUUCUGGAUAAGCUUUUCGGGAAGCGGCUCCUGCAGGCGGGUCGCUACCUGGUGUCCCACAAGGCGUGGAUGAAGACGGUGCCUACAGAGAACUGCGACGUGCUGAUGACCUUCCCAGGUACCCACGCCCGCCCGCCCGCCCAGUGCCCAGAUGCGGCUCUCCUGAGCUCGGCUUCCCAGAGCGGGAAUAUAUAGGAGGCCUUGGGCCCCCUCGUGGCAGGAGCCAUCGGUCCCUGUGCCCCUUGGCAGACACGACCGAUGACCACACGCUGCUAUGGCUGCUGAACCACAUCCGCGUGGGCAUCCCCGAGCUCAUCGUGCAAGUCCGCCACCACCGCCACACGCGUGCCUACGCCUUCUUUGUCACCGCCACGUAUGAGAGGCGAGUCCCCUGUCCCUGGCCUCUCGCUGAGCCUGCCACCCGGCUCCCCGCUCUACCAAGUGCCAACCAUGCUAUGCAGCCGCCCUGCGUUUGUCCCAAAGGCUGCCAGGUGCACCAUCCUCAGCUCCAGGAUG
RNAcentral lists this small RNA (669 nucleotides) under Pongo abelii (Sumatran orangutan). RNAcentral describes it as "retained intron". Lineage: Eukaryota; Metazoa; Chordata; Mammalia; Primates; Hominidae. The record is from RNAcentral.